UAUAGUAUGUUCGAAGAUUUUCUUUCUAUUAAAUAUCCAGGAUUAAACGAAAAAGAACUCUUCGUGAAAAGAAACGAGGAAUAUCAUGUGUGGGUGAAAGAUUAUGUAUGUCUAAAUAGUUUAUAAUAUAUGAUUUGCAUUUAUUUAUUGUUAUUCUUAUCUUUAUAAUGAUGUUUAUUUCCAAAUUUGCAUACAGGUUACAUAUUGGAACUCUAGUAAUCCUUUUCCAACUUGGGUUCAAGAGAUAGUCGAUGGACCUUAGCACAAAGUCAAAACAUGGCCAAUGUAUUUUACAAGAGGCUAUUUGUUUCAUACGCAGAGUCAUGGAGCUGGACGUAAGACUUGUAACUAUGGUGUAUGUGUGAAAGGUAAAAAUUAUACGGAUGCAUCUGACGCAGCAGAUUUUUACGGCAACUUAACUGAUAUCAUAGAACUUGAGUAUGAGGGGGUGGUCAGUUUGAAAAUCACAAUUUUUAAAUGUUCGUGGUAUGACCCUAAGCUCUGAAGAGGUACUC
RNAcentral lists this small RNA (515 nucleotides) under Arabidopsis thaliana (thale cress). Its description in RNAcentral is "ATSL272470". Lineage: Eukaryota; Viridiplantae; Streptophyta; Magnoliopsida; Brassicales; Brassicaceae. The record is from RNAcentral.